Molecule: ribosomal RNA, 1006 nt
Filed under: uncultured archaeon
Lineage: Archaea
Description: bacterial SSU rRNA
Rfam family: Archaeal small subunit ribosomal RNA
Source: RNAcentral
GGCAGAGGCCACUGCUAUCAGAGUUCGAUUAAGCCAUGCGAGUCGAGAGGUGCAAGACCUCGGCAUACUGCUCAGUAACACGUGGACAACCUACCCUGUGGAGGGGGAUAACCCCGGGAAACUGGGGAUAAUACCCCAUAGACUAUGGAUGCUGGAAUGCUCUGUAGCCGAAAGGUCCGCCGCCACAGGAUGGGUCUGCGGCCGAUUAGGUUGUUGUUGGGGUAACGGCCCAACAAGCCUGUAAUCGGUACGGGUUGUGGGAGCAAGAGCCCGGAGAUGGAUUCUGAGACACGAAUCCAGGCCCUACGGGGCGCAGAGGGCGCGAAAACUUUGCAAUGCGGGAAACCGUGACAAGGGAACUCUGAGUGCCCGUAAAAUCGGGCUGUCCAUCGGUGUAAAAAACCGGUGAAGAAAGGGSCGGGCAAGACCGGUGCCAGCCGCCGCGGUAAUACCGGCGGCUCGAGUGGUGGCCACUAUUACUGGGCUUAAAGCGUUCGUAGCUGGUUUGUUAAGUCUCUGGGGAAAUCUUCCGGCUUAACCGGAAGGCGUCUCAGGGAUACUGGCAGACUAGGGACCGGGAGAGGUGAGAGGUACUCCAGGGGUAGGAGUGAAAUCCUGUAAUCCUUGGGGGACCACCUGUGGGGAAGGCGUCUCACCAGAACGGCUCCGACAGUGAGGGACGAAAGCUGGGGGAGCAAACCGGAUUAGAUACCCGGGUAGUCCCAGCUGUAAACGAUGCGCGUUAGGUGUAUCGUGACCACGAGUCACCGAGGUGCCGAAGAGAAAUCGUGAAACGUGCCGCCUGGGAAGUACGGUCGCAAGGCUGAAACUUAAAGGAAUUGGCGGGGGAGCACCACAACGGGUGGAGCUGCGGUUUAAUCGGACUCAACGCCGGGAAACUCACCAGAUAAGACAGCUGAAUGAUAGUCGGGCUGAAGACUCUACUUGACUAGCUGAGAGGAGGUGCAUGGCCGUCGUCAGUUCGUACUGUGAAGCAUCCUGUUAA